This 356-nucleotide ribosomal RNA is filed under the name uncultured Treponema sp. Its description in RNAcentral is "bacterial SSU rRNA". It matches the Rfam family "Bacterial small subunit ribosomal RNA", at positions 354 to 701 of the family's 1533-position model. The record is from RNAcentral. Lineage: Bacteria; Pseudomonadati; Spirochaetota; Spirochaetia; Treponematales; Treponemataceae.
CUAAGGAAUAUUUCCGCAAUGGACGAAAGUCUGACGGAGCGACGCCGCGUGGAUGAUGAAGGCCGAAAGGUUGUAAAAUCCUUUUGAACUGGAAGAAUAAGCAGUGUAGGUAAUGACAUUGUGGUGACGGUACAGUUUGAAUAAGCAACGGCUAAUUACGUGCCAGCAGCCGCGGUAACACGUAAGUUGCGAGCGUUGUUCGGAAUUAUUGGGCGUAAAGGGCAUGUAGGCGGUUAUCUAAGCUUGGUGUGAAAGGCAGGGGCUCAACUCCUGGACUGCAUUGAGAACUGGAUAACUAGAGUUACUGAAGUGAAAUCAGAAUUCCAGGUGUAGGGGUGAAAUCUGUAGAUAUCUGG